UGGGGAAUAUUGGACAAUGGGCGAAAGCCUGAUCCAGCCAUGCCGCGUGUGUGAAGAAGGUCUUCGGAUUGUAAAGCACUUUAAGUUGGGAGGAAGGGCAGUUACCUAAUACGUAAUUGUUUUGACGUUACCGACAGAAUAAGCACCGGCUAACUCUGUGCCAGCAGCCGCGGUAAUACAGAGGGUGCAAGCGUUAAUCGGAAUUACUGGUCGUAAAGCGCGCGUAGGUGGUUAGUUAAGUUGGAUGUGAAAUCCCCGGGCUCAACCUGGGAACUGCAUUCAAAACUGACUGACUAGAGUAUGGUAGAGGGUGGUGGAAUUUCCUGUGUAGCGGUGAAAUGCGUAGAUAUAGGAAGGAACACCAGUGGCGAAGGCGACAUACUGGCUCAUUACUGACGCUAAGGCUCGAAAGCGUGGGGAGCAAAC
Molecule: ribosomal RNA, 426 nt
Filed under: uncultured bacterium
Lineage: Bacteria
Description: bacterial SSU rRNA
Rfam family: Bacterial small subunit ribosomal RNA
Source: RNAcentral